Molecule: transfer RNA, 71 nt
Filed under: Marmota marmota marmota (Alpine marmot)
Lineage: Eukaryota; Metazoa; Chordata; Mammalia; Rodentia; Sciuridae
Also listed under: 1 other name
Rfam family: tRNA
About the family: Transfer RNA (tRNA) molecules are approximately 80 nucleotides in length.
Source: Rfam by way of RNAcentral
GUGGUUGUAGCUCAGUGGCAGAGCGCUUGCUUAGCAUGUGUGAGGCACUGGGCUCAAUCCUCAGCACCACA